This 274-nucleotide ribosomal RNA is filed under the name uncultured bacterium. Its description in RNAcentral is "partial 16S ribosomal RNA". It matches the Rfam family "Bacterial small subunit ribosomal RNA", at positions 523 to 796 of the family's 1533-position model. The record is from RNAcentral.
AUACGGAGGGUGCAAGCGUUAUUCGGAAUCACUGGGCGUAAAGCGCGCGCAGGCGGCUAUUUAAGUUGGAUGUGAAAGCCUAUGGCUCAACCAUAGAACUGCAUCCAAAACUAUUUAGCUAGAGUGUGGGAGAGGAAGAUGGAAUUAGUCGUGUAGGGGUAAAAUCCGUAGAGAUAACUAGGAAUACCAAAAGCGAAGGCAAUCUUCUGGAACACUACUGACGCUGAGGCGCGAAAGCGUGGGGAGCAAACAGGAUUAGAAACCCCAGUAGUCC